GCCGGUUCCGAAGGAACAGGCUAAGAGGGAAACCGGUGCAAAGCCGGUGCGGACCCACCACUGUAUGCGAGGACAAGCAAGCGGAGCUGCCAUUGUCAAACCGAUGAGAAGGCGCCUGCGAGGAAGAAUCGCGAGCCAGGAAACCUGCAUAAGA
RNAcentral lists this non-coding RNA (154 nucleotides) under human gut metagenome. The record is from RNAcentral.